GAUGAACGCUGGCGGCGUGCCUAAUACAUGCAAGUCGAGCGAACAGACGAGGAGCUUUCUCCUCUGACGUUAGCGGCGGACGGGUGAGUAACACGUGGAUAACCUACCUAUAAGACUGGGAUAACUUCGGGAAACCGGAGCUAAUACCGGAUAAUAUAUUGAACCGCAUGGUUCAAUAGUGAAAGACGUUUUUUCUGUCUCUUAUAGAUGGAUCCGCGCCGCAUUAGCUAGUUGGUAAGGUAACGCCUUACCAAGGCAACGAUGCGUAGCCGACCUGAGAGGGUGAUCGGCCACACUGGAACUGAGACACGGUCCAGACUCCUACGGGAGGCAGCAGUAGGGAAUCUUGCGCAAUGGGCGAAAGCCUGACGGAGCAACGCCGCGUGAGUGAUGAAGGUCUUCGGAUCGUAAAACUCUGUUAUUAGGGAAGAACAAAUGUGUAAGUAAAUAUGCACGUCUUGACGGUACCUAAACAGAAAGCCACGGCUAACUACGUG
RNAcentral lists this ribosomal RNA (497 nucleotides) under uncultured bacterium. RNAcentral's name for it is "partial 16S ribosomal RNA". It matches the Rfam family "Bacterial small subunit ribosomal RNA", at positions 28 to 507 of the family's 1533-position model. The record is from RNAcentral.